RNAcentral lists this ribosomal RNA (264 nucleotides) under uncultured Ascomycota. RNAcentral describes it as "partial 18S ribosomal RNA". It matches the Rfam family "Eukaryotic small subunit ribosomal RNA", at positions 619 to 888 of the family's 1831-position model. Lineage: Eukaryota; Fungi; Ascomycota. The record is from RNAcentral.
UUAAAAAGCUCGUAGUUGAACCUUGGGCCUGGCUGGCCGGUCCGCCUCACCGCGUGCACUGGUUCGGCCGGGCCUUUCCCUCUGGGGAACCUCAUGCCCUUCACUGGGUGUGAUGGGGAACCAGGACUUUUACUGUGAAAAAAUUAGAGUGUUCAGAGCAGGCCUAUGCUCGAAUACAUUAGCAUGGAAUAAUAGAAUAGGACGUGUGGUUCUAUUUUGUUGGUUUCUAGGACCGCCGUAAUGAUUAAUAGGGACAGUCGGGGG